Molecule: ribosomal RNA, 835 nt
Filed under: uncultured bacterium
Lineage: Bacteria
Description: bacterial SSU rRNA
Rfam family: Bacterial small subunit ribosomal RNA
Source: RNAcentral
AGAAUCAACGCUGGCGGCGCGCUUAACACAUGCAAGUCGCACGAGAAAGAGGGCAACCUUGAGUAAAGUGGCGUACGGGUGAGUAACACGUGGAUCAUCUGCCUUUUAGUGGGGAAUACCCCCGGGAAACUGGGGACAAUACCGCAUAAGCUCGAGAGAGGAAAGCCGAAAGGCGCUGAAAGAGGAGUCCGCGGCUGAUUAGCUAGAUGGCGGGGUAACGGCCCACCAUGGCAAAGAUCGGUAGCCGGCCUGAGAGGGCACACGGCCACACUGGCACUGAAACACGGGCCAGACUCCUACGGGAGGCAGCAGUGGGGAAUCUUGCACAAUGGAGGAAACUCUGAUGCAGCGACGCCGCGUGAGCGAUGAAGCCCUUCGGGGUGUAAAGCUCUUUCGACGGGAACGAUAAUGACGGUACCCGGAGAAGAAGCUGCGGCUAACUACGUGCCAGCAGCCGCGGUAAUACGUAGGCAGCGAGCGUUGUUCGGAAUUACUGGGCGUAAAGAGUGUGUAGGCGGUGCUCUAAGUCUGUUGUGAAAUCUCCCGGCUUAACUGGGAGGGUGCGGCGGAAACUGGAGUGCUCGAGGAUGGGAGAGGUAAGCGGAAUUCCUGGUGUAGCGGUGAAAUGCGUAGAUAUCAGGAGGAACACCUGUGGUGUAGACAGCUUACUGGACCAUAUCUGACGCUGAGACACGAAAGCGUGGGUAGCAAACAGGAUUAGAUACCCUGGUAGUCCACGCCCUAAACGAUGCAUACUUGGUGUGAGCCAUUCAUUUGGUUCGUGCCGGAGCUAACGCGUUAAGUAUGCCGCCUGGGGAGUACGGUCGCAAGGCUG